UCCAGGAUUCAGAGAUCAGGCCUGAAGACAAAGGGCUCGUCAUGGAGUUUGGGCUGAGCUGGAUUUUCCUUGUUGCUCUUUUAAGAGGUGUCCAGUGUGAGGUGCAGCUGGUGGAGUCUGGGGGAGGCCUGGUGAAGCCUGGGGGGUCUCUGAGACUCUCCUGUGCAGCCUCUGGAUUCACCUUCAGCAGCUAUGCUAUGAGCUGGGUCCGCCAGGCUCCAGGGAAGGGCCUGCAGUGGGUCGCAGGUAUUAAUAGUGAUGGUGGUAGCACAUACUACGCUGACUCCGUGAAGGGCCGAUUCACCAUCUCCAGAGACAACUCGAAGAACACGCUGUAUCUGCAAAUGAACAGCCUGAGAGAUGAGGACACGGCCGUGUAUUACUGUGCGAAGGACACAGUGAUGUGA
Molecule: non-coding RNA, 407 nt
Organism: Equus quagga
Lineage: Eukaryota; Metazoa; Chordata; Mammalia; Perissodactyla; Equidae
Source: the annotation of a RefSeq genome assembly